Long non-coding RNA from Ziziphus jujuba (common jujube), 1429 nucleotides. RefSeq lists it as uncharacterized. NCBI's taxonomy places the organism in Eukaryota, Viridiplantae, Streptophyta, Magnoliopsida, Rosales, Rhamnaceae. The record is from RefSeq and is a predicted model, not a curated record. The transcript is spliced from 4 exons.
CGUUAGGUCAAGCAUUUGGAAAGAAGUUGCCAAACAUGGCAUUCUCUCAAAUUCUCAAUUAGCAUAUUUCACAAGUGCCAAGAUUUGAGAAGGCCACUGAACUCUUCGAUCAUCGUGAUUAUCCCGUUCAUAGCUUAAUGAAUGUAACUGAAUUUGAGCGUGCAUAUAUUGGCAAAAUUGCAUGGGAUGUACAACAUGACCGUACUCCAUACAGUGUUGCACCUGCUGUCAGAGACAAGCCACCACAGGGAAGUCAUGGUGAAAAAGAUGAAGGUGUUCCAUUUACGAGUAGUGGAAGAAGUGAGAAACGAAAGUAGGCAUCUGUGGAAAGUAAGGGUAAAGGAGGGAGGCGGCAAAUGGGAGAUAAGCCGAUAAACCAGCCUUCAUCAUCGACUGUAGGAGUUGCUACUCAUGUUCGUGUUAAGCCAUCGACUCCAUCCCAACCUCCAACGACUCCAUCCCAUGAUGAGGUAUCUUUGAGAGAGAGAUUAACUAUCCAUGAAGGUGAAGUGGCUAAUGUACUGCAAGACGUUAAGGAUUUAAGAAUCGCCAUGCUUAGAGACCAAACUUGAUAAGUUAAUGAAGCACCAAGGAGUGGGAGUUGGUGCUGACGGUUUAAGAGACGGGAUGGAAGCAGACGUUGAAGGGGAUGAAAAUAAAGAAGAGUUUGGUCCCGAUGUGACCCUCGUUGAUAGACAGUCAUAUCCAUCCGUUGUAGACGAUGCAGGACCAAGUAUUAAGAUUAUCAAGAAAGUGUCUCCAUCAAAGUUUCCGGCCGCAAGACGUGCAAAAAGGUAGGAGCUGCUAAGCAAAGUAGAGAUAUUGGGAGGUAGGAUAGGAAGGCGGCAGCAGUUAUUACUACUCCUUACAGUAUUGAAGGCUUGCGGAAAAAACUACAGUGCACUUUAUCUGGUGCAUCUUCUACUUUAAAGUUCGACCCAUACAAACCAGUACCCACUCGACUUGUAAAAAAUUUUGAUCAAUUUAUGAAGUCCGGUUGGACAGCAAAGGUGGAUAUGGAUAUUUUGUCUGUGGGUAAAGACUUUUUCCAGUUGCUUAUAACCAGUGAGAGGUGGCUAAAUCACGAUGUAAGUAUUUUUCGAUUAAGAUUUUUAUUUUAUAAUUUGAUAAAUUCCAUAGAUUGUCGUUCAACUGCAUGGAUGUAAUUUAAAUUUAACUUGUCUUUCAAUGCAACAUAUGGAAGUCUUGCCUUACUUAUUUCGUGUACGUGCCAAUCGAUUCCCUGAUGUUUUUUAUCCUAGUUUUGAGGUGAUAGAUGGAGGAUUUUGGGUAUACAUUGAGCAGUGUUAUGGAAAGUUCCUCGCCAAUCCAUCUAAUUUCUAAUUCUCAUAUGCAAUGCAAGAAUAUGUAUUGGGGAUUCGAAUGAAGGAGUCGAAGCCAUAAAAAUGCGUAAAUCAUGUACAAUAUA